This is a long non-coding RNA of Xiphophorus couchianus (Monterrey platyfish), 1740 nucleotides long. RefSeq lists it as uncharacterized. Lineage: Eukaryota; Metazoa; Chordata; Actinopteri; Cyprinodontiformes; Poeciliidae. The transcript has 2 exons. The record is from RefSeq and is a predicted model, not a curated record.
ACACUAGAAAAAAGAUAUCAUUCACUUCACUCAAAGUACUUUAGGAAAGACACUUGCAAUUUUAGUUUCAGUCACUGUUUUGCUGUGAAAAAUGAAAAUAAGCACUGGGUAUGAUUAAGGACAUUAAAAUAUACAUCAAGUAUAUAGUAUACAGUAUAAUUUAACACAUUAAUUUGAAUAUAUCAGAAUAAAAAAGCAAAAUUAAUUAAGCAAUUCAAAGUUUUAAAAAGAAAGCCUUUUAUGACAAGUGUUGGGUUUUAGUUUACAGUACUACACUAUCUGUACAAAAAAGCAUUUAAAAUGUUUUCAAGAUACAAAAAAACAGCCGUUACUUCAUAACACUUAAACAUUAAUUGUGGGAAAUCUUUUCACUAAAACAUAGUAUGGCGACUGGUAGGAUCGAACUCGCGACUCUGGGAUCGGCCUCACUCUUCCCCUUUCUUCUCCCCUCCCUUUCUUCCCCCUUCCUUCCUUUCUUCCCCCCGCCCCAAGCAGACUAUUGUUCCCCAACUUUGGCGCAGUAGGCAGCGCGUCAGUCUCAUAAUCUGAAGGUCGUGAGUUCAACCCUCACACUGAGAUAAUAAUUUAAUAUUUUCUUUCCAUCUAUUGAGUCUCGAGGAUGUUUUAUUUCGAAAAUUCUUUAACCGGAUUCUGUCGGUUACGUCUUGUGCACCAACAUUGAGCCCACAAGUAGGAACAGAAUGAGUCCUCUCAACGGACCCCCCCACUCCGAAGCAAACUUGCGACGACUUGCUCGCGCAUCCUGGCACCCUGGUUUUUGAUCGUCCAGUUUUGUUUUUUAUGUUUGUCAAACCCUCAUUUCAACUCAAACUAGUCUUCAUUGCUGACAGAACGAAGGGUAUGUUGUCUGUUUUUUAAUCCUUGCUUUUGAAUCUGAGCUCAGAUUAAAACUCAAGAUUUUUUCUUCAGGAAUAAAUCAUGUUUUUAAAAACAUGUUGAAGUCUCACGAAAGACAUCAAGAUUAACCACUAUAAAUGAAAAUGAAAUAUAUAUAUAUAUAUACACACACAUACAUACAUAUACUCUUAUUUUUAAAGCACUUUUCAUAAACAAUAUUGCUUUAUGGGACAAAGUUAAGUUUCUAAAAUUACCGGGUUUAAAAAUGUAAAUCAAAGAAAUGUUUGGUACAGCAGUAAAAGAUGAACUGAAGGCAUGCUACACGUACUCGCCAAGGAUGCAAAUGUAUAUGGCAGAUAGCCAGCCUGUGAGUGUGUUGCUGUUUUAAGAGAUGAAUAGUCAUUUGUCAAACUUAAAAUCACUUUCUUUAUUAAGUUUCAUUGCUUUAUGACUAAAACUUCAAGACAUCUCUAGUUGUUUUAUACAAUAGUCACACUGUUUGAUCUACAAUAUACAUCAUUGUUUAAUUGUUGGCACAUAAACUCUAGUAAAACGCCCCAAAAAAUACAUUUCACAUUGUUUACCCUCUCACUCUUCGACCUUGGUGGAUGUUAUUAUUCCAGGAAAGGUGAAAUUCCUUAAAACAGUAACACAUAUUCCCACAGUGGUCUACAAAAUGUCUGGACUGCAACUCUUUAGAAGUUUACAACCAACUGCAGGAGAUUCAUUUGCACUUAUGCGAAUACAACAUUUAAAAUAAAAGAUUAGAUCUGUCUAGAAGUGACAUAAAUUAUUUUAAAAGCCUCCUGUUGAUGAAGAAGUUGUACUGUUAUAGUCAUAAAAAGCCUCUAUAAAAAAAAGCAGGAAUGUAAAUUAAUGUCU